Molecule: ribosomal RNA, 467 nt
Filed under: uncultured bacterium
Lineage: Bacteria
Description: bacterial SSU rRNA
Rfam family: Bacterial small subunit ribosomal RNA
Source: RNAcentral
AACGAACGCUGGCGGCAGGCCUAACACAUGCAAGUCGAACGAGUAAGAGCCGUAGCAAUACGGAGUUCUGCUAGUGGCGCACGGGUGAGUAACGCGUGGGAACGUGCCUUGGAGUUCGGGAUAACAGUUGGAAACGACUGCUAAUACCGAAUAUUCCCUCAGGGGGAAAGAUUUAUCGCUCCAAGAUCGGCCCGCGUAAGAUUAGGUAGUUGGUGGGGUAAUGGCCUACCAAGCCUACGAUCUUUAGCUGGUCUGAGAGGACGACCAGCCACACUGGAACUGAGACACGGCCCAGACUCCUACGGGAGGCAGCAGUGGGGAAUAUUGGGACAAUGGGCGAAAGCCUGAUCCAGCCAUGCCGCGUGAAUGAUGAAGGCCUUAGGGUUGUAAAAUCUUUUGCAGGGGAAGAUAAUGACGGUACCCUGCGAAUAAGCUCCGGCUAACUUCGUGCCAGCAGCCGCGGUAAU